GAUGAACGCUGGCGGCGUGCCUAAUACAUGCAAGUAGAACGCUGAAGCUUGGUGCUUGCACCGAGCGGAUGAGUUGCGAACGGGUGAGUAACGCGUAGGUAACCUGCCUGGUAGCGGGGGAUAACUAUUGGAAACGAUAGCUAAUACCGCAUAACAGUCGACAUUGCAUGAUGUUGAUUUGAAAGGGGCAAUUGCUCCACUACCAGAUGGACCUGCGUUGUAUUAGCUAGUUGGUGAGGUAACGGCUCACCAAGGCGACGAUACAUAGCCGACCUGAGAGGGUGAUCGGCCACACUGGGACUGAGACACGGCCCAGACUCCUACGGGAGGCAGCAGUAGGGAAUCUUCGGCAAUGGGGGCAACCCUGACCGAGCAACGCCGCGUGAGUGAAGAAGGUUUUCGGAUCGUAAAGCUCUGUUGUAAGAGAAGAACGAGUGUGAGAGUGGAAAGUUCACACUGUGACGGUAACUUACCAGAAAGGGACGGCUAACUACGUGCCAGCAGCCGCGGUAAUACGUAGGUCCCGAGCGUUAUCCGGAUUUAUUGGGCGUAAAGCGAGCGCAGGCGGUUAGAUAAGUCUGAAGUUAAAGGCUGUGGCUUAACCAUAGUACGCUUUGGAAACUGUUUAACUUGAGUGCAGAAGGGGAGAGUGGAAUUCCAUGUGUAGCGGUGAAAUGCGUAGAUAUAUGGAGGAACACCGGUGGCGAAAGCGGCUCUCUGGUCUGUAACUGACGCUGAGGCUCGAAAGCGUGGGGAGCAAACAGGAUAGAUACCCUGGUAGUCCAAGGGCGAAUUCCACAGUGGAUAUCAAGCUUAUCGAUACCGUCGACCUCGAGGGGGGGCCCGGUACCCAGCUUUUGUUCCCUUUAGUGAGAGAUUAAAUUACAC
Molecule: ribosomal RNA, 888 nt
Filed under: uncultured Streptococcus sp.
Lineage: Bacteria; Bacillati; Bacillota; Bacilli; Lactobacillales; Streptococcaceae
Description: bacterial SSU rRNA
Rfam family: Bacterial small subunit ribosomal RNA
Source: RNAcentral